UUUUCCGGUUGAUCCUGCCGGACCCUACUGCUAUCGGGGUGGGACUAAGACAUGCGAGUUGAGCGUUUCUAGCUAUGUUGAAACGCACCAUACGGCUCACCAACACGUGGCUAACCUACCUUCAUGACAGGGACAAACCCGGGAAACUGGGGCUAAUACCACAUAGGCGAGGAUGCCUGGAAUGGGUUCUCACCCAGAGGACAUUGGGAACAUGCUCCCCCAUCGCCUGGGGAUGGGACCACGGCCGAUCAUGUUGUUGGUGAGGUAACGGCUCACCAAGCCUAUAACCUGUACGGGCCGUGAGAACAGUAGCCCGGAGAUGGGCACUGAUACAAGGGCCCACGCCCUACGGGGCGCAGCAGUCGCGAAAACUCCUCAAUGCACGAAAGUGUGACGGGGCUACCCCCACUGCCGUCCGCUGAGGAUGGCUUUUCCUCCGUGUAGCUAGCCGGGGGAAUAAGGAGAGGGCAAGACUGGUGUCAGCCGCCGCGGUAAUACCAGCUCUCUGAGUGGUAGGGAUGAUUAUUGGGCUUAAAGCGUCCGUAGCUGGCUUAGCAAGUCUCUUGUUAAAUUCAGCGACCUAAUCGUUGAGCCGCGGGAGAUACUACUAGGCUAGGAGGCGGGAGAGGUCGACGGUACUUUCGGGGUAGGGGUGAAAUCCUAUAAUCCCGGGAGGACCACCAGUGGCGAAGGCUGUCGACUAGAACGCGCUCGACAGUGAGGGACGAAAGCUGGGGGAGCGAACCGGAUUAGAUACCCGGGUAGUCCCAGCUGUAAACGAUGGGGGCUAGGUGUUGGGGUGGCUACGGGCCACUUCAGUGCCGCAGGGAAGCCAUUAAGCCCGCCGCCUGGGGAGUACGGCCGCAAGGCUGAAACUUAAAGGAAUUGGCGGGGGAGCACCACAAGGCGUGAAGCUUGCGGUUCAAUUGGAGUCAACGCCGGAAAUCACUAGU
Molecule: ribosomal RNA, 953 nt
Filed under: uncultured archaeon
Lineage: Archaea
Description: bacterial SSU rRNA
Rfam family: Archaeal small subunit ribosomal RNA
Source: RNAcentral